Molecule: transfer RNA, 73 nt
Filed under: Biomphalaria glabrata
Lineage: Eukaryota; Metazoa; Mollusca; Gastropoda; Planorbidae
Rfam family: tRNA
About the family: Transfer RNA (tRNA) molecules are approximately 80 nucleotides in length.
Source: Rfam by way of RNAcentral
AUCAUGGUGGCUGAGUGGUAAAGCGCUUGGCUUCCGAACCGAAGGGUUCCGGGUUCAAGUCCUGGUGAAGACU